AAAGCCACGGCUAACUACGUGCCAGCAGCCGCGGUAAUACGUAGGUGGCAAGCGUUGUCCGGAAUUAUUGGGCGUAAAGCGCGCGCAGGCGGUUUCUUAAGUCUNAUGUGAAAGCCCACGGCUCAACCGUNGAGGGUCAUUGGAAACUGGGAAACUUNAGUGCAGAAGAGGAAAGUGGAAUUCCACGUGUAGCGGUNAAAUGCGUAGAGAUGUGGAGGAACACCAGUGGCGAAGGCGACUU
Molecule: ribosomal RNA, 241 nt
Filed under: bacterium
Lineage: Bacteria
Description: partial 16S ribosomal RNA
Rfam family: Bacterial small subunit ribosomal RNA
Source: RNAcentral